UUCUCUCAAAUCACAUUUUUGGCAUUUGGAAUUUUUCUUGAGAAGUUGUCAAAGAACUCGAGCCUGUCUUGCUUGCUCCACCAUCCAUCACCUUUGUUGAGCUUAUUUCAAGCUUCAUUUCACAUCUGUAGCAGCAUUUCAUGGACUAUUUUCUUCAAGCUCCAUUAAUGGCAGAAGUUGAUUAGAGCCAUCCCAAGCUAUCUCGAGCCAAACCCUCUUCAUCAUUCAUCAUUU
RNAcentral lists this long non-coding RNA (234 nucleotides) under Lathyrus oleraceus (garden pea). RNAcentral's name for it is "Pisum sativum (pea) long non-coding RNA (PSAT_LNC027023)". Lineage: Eukaryota; Viridiplantae; Streptophyta; Magnoliopsida; Fabales; Fabaceae. The record is from RNAcentral.